AACCCUUGCAAUGACUCUGGCUCCACUCAACAAAGCUCAUCCCAAUUCUCUUUGUGAUUCACCAUCCCCCUUGGCCUCUUUGAAGAUGGCUUAGACUCUGGGACCCAUCCUUACUGAUUUUUUUUAGUUCUGAUUUUUCUCGACCAUGAUCCCAUGCCCAUUGGAGAGUCCUUUUAGAAUAUACCACGACAUUUGAAUUAUGAUAAACUCUCUACUGAAAAAUAUGAUGAGGAAGACUAGCUCCAUCCCAAUUUUGGUCAACUCGCUCAUUGGUUGUGGAAACAUGGUCUGUGUAUUAUGGACAUUUCAAAUAAAUCUAAGAAAGGAAAUGUGCUAUCAGACCAAUAAAGUUAGUCGGGGAGUUGAAGAACCACAUAUUCAUAGUCAAUUUUGAUAGCUCCUCCUUGUCAUAGAUGGGGCAAAAAAGUCCUCAUAAUUGUGCUCUUUUGGAAUGAUUGAGACCUUUUCUCUAGAGAAGAGCCCUUGUCAAAUCCCUUACGGAGACCAACACCACCUCUGCAAUCUACGAAGACCAACACCACCUCUGCAAUCCUUCAAGUGUCUGAAAGAAGCAAUGUGAAUAGUGUCUUAUGGAAAGCGUUAUGGAAUUAUAGGCAGAUCGAUUGAGCUGCUUUAGAUGCUUGGAGAAGAAUCAAUGUUAUCCUCAUUCUGUGGAACGAUUCAACCAUGAAGGUUAUAAGAGUCAAUGAAGGUACACCUACUCUUACUCUCGAUCUUGCUCUCCUUGAUGAUUUUGUGUUCUGGUUAGGAGGGUAUAUAGGCUCUUACAAGUUGCCGACGGAGCAAAAUUAUGGACAGAUCCCUAUGAUCUCUCCAUUUAUGUUUGGAUCAUUGAACUUUGGGAGGUGACUUUUCUUAAAUCACUUAUUAACCCAAAAACUUAAGUUGAUGGUGAUGACAAAUGUAUUAUAAAAUUUCACUCCCUCACACUUGGAGGCUUGAAAUAUGAAGAAGACCUAAUAAGUGGAAGUGAAUAUUAAUUGGGAAGAAAACAACAAUGUAGGGAUUUGAACAGAGGACCUCUUGAACGAAACCAUUUUGAUACUAUUUUAAAUCACCGAUUGACCAAAAAGAUUAAGUUGAUGGGUAAAGGAAAAUAUACUAUAAUAUAAUAUAUCACAACUCAGUUUUGAAGAGCUUAGAUAUGUUGUAGUUGUUCAAUUUUGUAAAUUUGAAACUAAAUCAAAAAAUGUACUGGAGGAGAAGAAAAGAGAAAAUGAAAGGAGAAUGAGAAGCUACGAGGUGAAGAA
This 1271-nucleotide long non-coding RNA is filed under the name Cucumis sativus (cucumber). RNAcentral describes it as "long non-coding RNA (CSAT_LNC000944)". The record is from RNAcentral. Lineage: Eukaryota; Viridiplantae; Streptophyta; Magnoliopsida; Cucurbitales; Cucurbitaceae.